This 58-nucleotide ribosomal RNA is filed under the name Candidatus Phytoplasma trifolii. RNAcentral's name for it is "partial 23S ribosomal RNA". Lineage: Bacteria; Bacillati; Mycoplasmatota; Mollicutes; Acholeplasmatales; Acholeplasmataceae. The record is from RNAcentral.
GUUCUUUGAAAAGUAGAUAAACAUGCUUUAAAAUUUCAUAAAGUGAAGGAAGUAAGGC